Molecule: long non-coding RNA, 461 nt
Organism: Ochotona curzoniae (black-lipped pika)
Lineage: Eukaryota; Metazoa; Chordata; Mammalia; Lagomorpha; Ochotonidae
Exons: 2
Source: RefSeq, a predicted model, not a curated record
AAGAGCAAGUCACUUCUCUGGUUUCCUGAAGGGUUACAGGUGAAGGUUCUUACAGACUGAAGUUGGUGCUAAGAGAUGCCUGUUGAGCUCCUAUGCACAUUCCUGGUUGGUAGGUGGUACUGGUGGACUUCCCUCGAUAGGUCAGCAAGAAAUAACUUUUAUGACGGCCAAGACUGAGGAAUACAUGUAGGCGGUUCUUACUUUCUGUUCUGAAUUGGGAAUUCCCUUAAACAAAAUCUCUCAAUUCUGGCCAUUAAGUAUUGUCUACUGGAGAAGCAAGUGACUUCAUGAGUUCAUGACUGGAAUCUUGUAAGGUUAAGCUGAACCCCUGCCUCAAUCCAGCGAGUUCAUUUUAGAGCAGUCAAAAGGCAAGGAACCUUGCUGGGGACACAAUGGUAGGAUCACUAGAAGACGUGGAAUGUUAAUCAGAUUAUUGAACAAUUGUGAGUUUAAAGGAUCCA